RNAcentral lists this ribosomal RNA (373 nucleotides) under uncultured bacterium. Its description in RNAcentral is "bacterial SSU rRNA". It matches the Rfam family "Bacterial small subunit ribosomal RNA", at positions 28 to 404 of the family's 1533-position model. The record is from RNAcentral.
GACGAACGCUGGCGGCGUGCUUAACACAUGCAAGUCGAGCGGUAAGGCCCUUUCGGGGGUACACGAGCGGCGAACGGGUGAGUAACACGUGGGUGACCUGCCCUCAGCUCUGGGAUAAGCCCGGGAAACUGGGUCUAAUACCGGAUAUGACUUCAUGACGCAUGUUGUGGAGUGGAAAGCCUUGUGCGGCUGAGGAUGGGCCCGCGGCCUAUCAGCUUGUUGGGGGUGAUGGCCUACCAAGGCGACGACGGGUAGCCGGCCUGAGAGGGCGACCGGCCACACUGGGACUGAGAUACGGCCCAGACUCCUACGGGAGGCAGCAGUGGGGAAUCUUGCGCAAUGGGCGAAAGCCUGACGCAGCGACGCCGCGUGA